GAUGAACGCUGGCGGCGUGCCUAAUACAUGCAAGUCGAGCGAACGGACGAGAAGCUUGCUUCUCUGAUGUUAGCGGCGGACGGGUGAGUAAAACGUGGAUAACCUACCUAUAAGACUGGGAUAACUUCGGGAAACCGUAGCUAAUACCGGAUAAUAUUUUGAACCGCAUGGUUCAAAAGUGAAAGACGGUCUUGCUGUCACUUAUAGAUGGAUCCGCGCUGCAUUAGCUAGUUGGUAAGGUAACGGCUUACCAAGGCAACGAUGCAUAGCCGACCUGAGAGGGUGAGCGGCCACACUGGAACUGAGACACGGGCCAGACUCCUACGGGAGGCAGCAGUAGGGAAUCUUCCGCAAUGGGCGAAGGCCUGACGGAGCAACGCCGCGUGAGUGAUGAAGGUCGUCGGAUCGUAAAACUCUGUUAGUAGGGAAGAACAUAUGUGUAAGUAACUGUGCACAUCUUGACGGUACCUAAUCAGAAAGCCACGGCUAACUACGUG
This 497-nucleotide ribosomal RNA is filed under the name uncultured bacterium. RNAcentral's name for it is "partial 16S ribosomal RNA". It matches the Rfam family "Bacterial small subunit ribosomal RNA", at positions 28 to 507 of the family's 1533-position model. The record is from RNAcentral.